This 350-nucleotide ribosomal RNA is filed under the name uncultured bacterium. RNAcentral describes it as "bacterial SSU rRNA". It matches the Rfam family "Bacterial small subunit ribosomal RNA", at positions 8 to 349 of the family's 1533-position model. The record is from RNAcentral.
AGAGUUUGAUCCUGGCUCAGGAUGAACGCUAGCUACAGGCUUAACACAUGCAAGUCGAGGGGCAGCAUGGUCUUAGCUUGCUAAGACCGAUGGCGACCGGCGCACGGGUGAGUAACGCGUAUCCAACCUGCCUUACACUCUUGGACAGCCUUCUGAAAGGGAGAUUAAUACAAGAUGUUAUCAUGAGUAAGCAUUUUCACAUGAUUAAAGGUUUACCGGUGUAAGAUGGGGAUGCGUUCCAUUAGAUAGUAGGCGGGGUAACGGCCACCUAGUCUUCGGAUGGAUAGGGGUUCUGAGAGGAAGGUCCCCCACAUUGGAACUGAGACACGGUCCAAACUCCUACGGGAGCA